AUGGCCGCAGUAAAAAGACGCUUUGUUUUCUUCAGUUCAGUGUUUCCACGUUUUAAACGAAUAUCUAUCGACGAAACCACAGCAAAGUGAGUGAGGUACACAGCCCUGUUCUGAGCAAAGGAGGUCAGGAACAAGGCAAGAUGAGUCCAGAGAGAGUUGCUCCCAAGAUCGUCUAAUUAUGCCGAUGCCACCUAUGCCCCCCGGGUUCAGACCCAUGAUGGGUGGUCCACCCGGUAUGCCACCCAUGCCCAACCUUCCUGGGAUGCCCCCCGUCCCACCUAUGAGACCCCCUUCCAUAACUACCUCCAGUGGAUCCAUCAGUGCACCCUCAGCGAUCUCCAGUGCAGUGACGAUAUCAAGCAGUCAUCCACAGCAACAACCUAACCUCUGUUACCAAGUCCAGCUGCUGGCAGCAGGACGAACCGUCAAGUAGAGCUUCUAGGAAUCUCAGAGAGUGGAAUCCAAUUGAUCAAAAGAGAAUACCAUUGUCUAAAAUCUGCUGACAGUCCUGGAAUGCAUCCAAGCAGUGACUUAUCGUAAGGGAAGGAUCUAAAUCUUAGUGACCAGCAAGCAUCAGAGACUGUCCAACUGGCUGCACUGCAGCACUAGGCAGAAGAUAAGGUCAUACCACAUGGCUGCAGGACUUAGAGAACAUUCAGAAAGUUCCAAGGGAGGUAACUUUGUUGAGAUUCUUGUGCUACUUGGUGAAAAAGAUGAAUUGAUGACAAAACACAAAAGCAUGCGUCAGAUUCCCGUGUUGGAGGUGGAUGCUUAUUGGCCAUCAACAAGGCUGGAAUUCACUAGAUACAUCCACAGUCACAUGAAUCUUAGUGACUGAUGGCUUUGUUUAGAUGGCGUCAUCUCGGAGGGAUCAGUGGCAGGCAAUUUGUGGACCUUCAAUGCUGCAACUUGAUGGUGCAAAGAGUCACCAACAGACUUCGAGCAAUUCUAAACUCGUGUAUACAGUGCUCACACACAUCGGUGUAUUUGGUGCACUGAAAUCAUUUGUGAGAUUGGCCUUCACAUGCAAGCCCAUGCAUUCAGCAAGCACCCAAACCAACCAUCCGAGAUGACACCACAGACUACAACAACAUUCAACAUUCUAACUGUGCUGGAUAGACAAUGAAUCAACUUGGAGUGGUAGAAGUGUAGGAGAGCUGAGAAGAGCAACCAAAGAGAACAGGUGAUCCUAACCAGCAUGCCAACCACAGUGACGACAGCCCAUACAACCCUACGAAGCACUGGGGAGAAAUCACCAAUACCUGAGAUGACACCUAAAGCGAUACCUAAAGCAAUACACUGUAUUAUGCGGUAGGAGGAAACCUCGCUAUAGCUUUUGUUUGUAGAAUAAAAAGAAACAUCA
Long non-coding RNA from Asterias rubens (European starfish), 1363 nucleotides. RefSeq lists it as uncharacterized. The record is from RefSeq and is a predicted model, not a curated record. NCBI's taxonomy places the organism in Eukaryota, Metazoa, Echinodermata, Asteroidea, Forcipulatida, Asteriidae. The transcript is spliced from 10 exons.